GUCCACGCCGUAAACGAUGGGUACUAGGCGUCGGGGGGAGCGACCCCUUCGGUGCCGUCGCUAACGCAGUAAGUACCCCGCCUGGGGGAGUACGGCCGCAAGGCUGAAACUCAAAGGAAUUGACGGGGGCCCGCACAAGCGGUGGAGCAUGUGGUUUAAUUCGAAGCAACGCGAAGAACCUUACCUGGGCUUGACAUGCACGGGAAAGCCGGUGGAAACAUCGGUUCCUCUUCGGAGUCCGUGCACAGGUGCUGCAUGGCUGUCGU
Molecule: ribosomal RNA, 266 nt
Filed under: uncultured bacterium
Lineage: Bacteria
Description: partial 16S ribosomal RNA
Rfam family: Bacterial small subunit ribosomal RNA
Source: RNAcentral